This 205-nucleotide long non-coding RNA is filed under the name Pelobates cultripes (western spadefoot toad). The record is from RNAcentral. Lineage: Eukaryota; Metazoa; Chordata; Amphibia; Anura; Pelobatidae.
GUAAGCAUUCAUAUUUGUUUGUGUGUGAAAAAAGUAAAAAAACUAAAUUGAACGCUAAUUUUGGCCAGUGUUUGUGACCAAGUGGUUACUAAAAAAGACUGGCCAUACCCCAUUUGCAAUACCUUGGGUUUUCUUCUUUUGCAAAUGGUAUGCCAUCAUGGGGGUAAUUCUCAUUCCUGGGCUACCAUACGCUCUCAAAGGCAAC